This 164-nucleotide small nuclear RNA is filed under the name Chelonia mydas (Green sea turtle). RNAcentral's name for it is "U1 spliceosomal RNA". It matches the Rfam family "U1 spliceosomal RNA". From Rfam's summary of the family: U1 is a small nuclear RNA (snRNA) component of the spliceosome (involved in pre-mRNA splicing). Its 5' end forms complementary base pairs with the 5' splice junction, thus defining the 5' donor site of an intron. There are significant differences in sequence and secondary structure between metazoan and yeast U1 snRNAs, the latter being much longer (568 nucleotides as compared to 164 nucleotides in human). Lineage: Eukaryota; Metazoa; Chordata; Testudines; Cheloniidae. The record is from Rfam by way of RNAcentral.
AUACUUACCUGGCAGGGGAGAUACCAUGAUCACGAAGGUGGUUUUCCCAGGGCGAGGCUCAUCCAUUGCCCUGCGGGUGUGCUGACCCUUGCGAUUUCCCCAAAUGCGGGAAACUCGACUGCAUAAUUUGUGGUAGUGGGGGACUGCGUUUGCGCUCUCCCCUG